This 277-nucleotide ribosomal RNA is filed under the name uncultured prokaryote. RNAcentral describes it as "partial 16S ribosomal RNA". It matches the Rfam family "Bacterial small subunit ribosomal RNA", at positions 524 to 801 of the family's 1533-position model. The record is from RNAcentral.
CACGUAGGGGCGAGCGUUGUCCGGAAUUACUGGGUGUAAAGGGCGCGCAGGCGGCCCCAAAAGUCAGAUGUGAAAGAUCAAGGCUUAACUUUGACAUGUCAUCUGAAACUUUGGGACUUGAGUAUCAGAGGGGAAAGUGGAAUUCCUAGUGGAGCGGUAAAAUGCGUAGAUAUUAGGAGGAACACCGGUGGCGAAGGCAACUUUCUGGCUGACAACUGACGCUGAGGCGCGAAAGCGUGGGGAGCAAACAGGAUUAGAUACCCGGGUAGUCCCUGAG